This 825-nucleotide ribosomal RNA is filed under the name Sphaerulina sp. RNAcentral's name for it is "partial large subunit ribosomal RNA". It matches the Rfam family "Eukaryotic large subunit ribosomal RNA", at positions 71 to 925 of the family's 3401-position model. The record is from RNAcentral. Lineage: Eukaryota; Fungi; Ascomycota; Dothideomycetes; Mycosphaerellales; Mycosphaerellaceae.
GGGAUUGCCCUAGUAACGGCGAGUGAAGCGGCAACAGCUCAAAUUUGAAAUCUGGCGCAAGUCCGAGUUGUAAUUUGUAGAGGAUGCUUCUGGGUAGCGACCGGUCUAAGUUCCUUGGAACAGGACGUCAUAGAGGGUGAGAAUCCCGUAUGUGACCGGCCCGCACCCUUGACGUAGCUCCUUCGACGAGUCGAGUUGUUUGGGAAUGCAGCUCUAAAUGGGAGGUAAAUUUCUUCUAAAGCUAAAUACCGGCCAGAGACCGAUAGCGCACAAGUAGAGUGAUCGAAAGAUGAAAAGUACUUUGGAAAGAGAGUUAAAAAGCACGUGAAAUUGUUGAAAGGGAAGCGCCUGCAAUCAGACUUCGCGGCAGUGUUCCGCCGGUCUUCUGACCGGUUUAUUCUCUGUCGCGAGGCCAUCAUCGUCUCGGCCCGCUGGAUAAGACCUUGGGAAUGUAGCUCACCUUCGGGGGAGUGUUAUAGCUCAUGGUGAUGCAGCGAGGCUGGGGCGAGGUCCGCGCUUCGGCAAGGAUGAUGGCGUAAUGGUUGUCGGCGGCCCGUCUUGAAACACGGACCAAGGAGUCUAACAUCUAUGCGAGUGUUCGGGUGUCAAACCCCUACGCGUAAUGAAAGUGAACGGAGGUGGGAACCGCAAGGUGCACCAUCGACCGAUCCUGAUGUCCUCGGAUGGAUUUGAGUAAGAGCAUAGCUGUUGGGACCCGAAAGAUGGUGAACUAUGCCUGAAUAGGGUGAAGCCAGAGGAAACUCUGGUGGAGGCUCGCAGCGGUUCUGACGUGCAAAUCGAUCGUCAAAUUUGGGUAUAGGGGCG